Molecule: long non-coding RNA, 2508 nt
Organism: Dalotia coriaria
Lineage: Eukaryota; Metazoa; Arthropoda; Insecta; Coleoptera; Staphylinidae
Exons: 2
Source: RefSeq, a predicted model, not a curated record
AAUUAUUAAAAUGCUAAUUUUACCAUUAACGCGUUUUGCGCAACAAUAAACAUCAUUUUUCUGUGUAAACAAUAUUUAACAUUAUUUGUUUAUUAAUUAUUAUCGCAAAAAUUAAUAACGGAUUUAAUUCUGUUGCUGACGAAAAUAUUGUUUAUUAUAUCAUACUAUAGGCAACCCAACAUGCUCAGUAGAAAGUUUAUUCAAAGUUUCCAAAAAUCAAUUCAGAUUUCGGAAUCUAAGACGCCUGUACCGAAACAAAGAUUUCAGUAUCUAUUGACUUUUUUUCAUUAUACAGUUUAACGCUGAUCACAUCGCACUCCACUCAAUCGUACCUCCCGAAUUCCGUGUAUUUAUUCCCUUAUAAAACGCACCACACAAAUCCGAUCAAUGAAAAUUCAGACCUACCUUCAUGUAAAUCUAUUUUUUUCAAAAUUCCACAAAAAGAUGGCUUACCCGAUCAUGUCUCGGGGCUUCGCCGAUCAGUCCUCCGUUUUGGGUUACAUGGUACGCUAUGAGAAUAAAUUCUGGGGACAAUCGUCGAUACCAAUAUCUCCUGGUAUGACGAUUCAAACAAACACCGCAGUGUGGUACCGCUGUCGCGUAAGGCCACCGAGUGUCUCCGAGCACUGUUCUUCGUGCUCAAGUGGACCUUCCAUCUUGGAUUUGUCCCCUUCGUCAUCUAUUUGGGAUGGACCAAGGGCCCUGAUGAGGGAAGCCCACCUUUUAGUUUUACCAACUUUCUACUGUUCUAUUAAUCUACAUAAAAUUGAAGAGAAGCACUGCAUGCAAAUUAUGCUAAUAAUUCCUGUCUGAGAAACGUCAAAAUUGAUGGUAGUACUACAAUUAGAAACAGUACAGUCAGCGCACACAAGCCACUGAAAAUCCAAUAUGUCGGCGCCGAACCGAUGCCAUCCUCCAGUAACGGAAACACGAAUAAAAUAACAAACGCCACAAUGUUGUUGAUCAGAAUCGAAAUGGUCGACAUGACGUUCUUUGCGUUGUCAGGCAAGAUCUCGCCGAUAACCACAUAGGUGACGGAUCCCACACCAACGGCGAACGCCACAAUGAAUACCAAGAUGGACGCCAAUGGUAACCAAGCUAAUGCACUCACAUCAUAGUCGUUACCCUUUAGGAAAAAGUAGGCACCCAAUGCUGUGAUACUGACAGUGACGAAGAUCUGGCCAAUUGUCAACAGAAUCUUCCGGCCGAACAGAUCGACAAUAUGUGGUAUGACCAACAUGACGACCAGUUGUAACAAUGCCACGUACACUGAAGACAUCUGUGGUGAGAUUCCGGUGUCACUUUCGGUGAAGAUGGUUUCCAUGUAGGAGACGACCGGGUUGAUAAUCGACACUUGGAUGGAUACCAUCAAUGCAAUGGCGAUUAUUAACGCCUUUCGGAGCGCACCCUGAGCAAACAGUUGCUUGUAAUCCAAUUGUUCUUGCUUCACUGCAAUGCACUGCGAGAUUUCCUGGAGCUCGUCUUUUAGUUGUUUAUCGUCAGCGCCGGGUCGUAAUCGAGCCAGUACAGCUUGCGCCCUUUCCAUGUUACCUUUGUCUACGAAAUGGAACGGACUCUCAUCGACAAACAGACCGAUGAGGAUGAAGGCACUGCAGGGGAAUACCAAGUUGAUGUACUGGAAGUUCUCGAAGGAUACACUAGGUCCCACUGCGUAGACAUACACCUGUCCAGUAGCCAGGAAGAUGGCGAAGAAACAUCCGAGCGCACCACGUCGUUCCUUGCUGGCGAUUUCCGCGACGUACACGGGUACCACCUGCAUAAUCGCACCCAGCGUAAGACCGUUGAAUAUACGCGCGAAGUAAAACGCAAUCAGGUCUCCGGCAAGUGCAAACAUCAAAUAACCCAACAUCGUUGGCACUAACAUGAUCAUCAGCGAGAUCUUUCGUCCCAGUUUUUUCACUAUGACCAUCGUAAUUAAAUUCCCAAUCAUGGCUCCGAUGAAGAUGAAUGCUGUCAGCCAUGAUGAUUCCGCCAGUGUGAUUUUCUCAGGCAGUGGAUUCACGUGUGGGUCCUUCGAGCCGUUUAGGUAUGGAAUUGAUGGUGAGGCCCAGGAGAAGGUGAGCCCGGCAAUGAAGGACAUCAAGUUCACUAAAAUUAAAAGCAAAUCGUAAGCAUUUUGGGUUUAACGGCGAAUUUUAUGGAGUCUCACAUAAACAACAUGUUAUAGUAGCGGCGUUAGGCAACAAUCGGCUAAUACACGUUGUUUUAUACAUUGUGACAUGCAUGUGCGACUGACAAACUGGCCCAUUUAUACGACAACCAAAUCGCAAUUAGUGAUUAUUAUCAAUUUAUCGCGGAAUUUCAUGUAACGCACGUUUUGCCGUAGAAGUGGCAUUGUAUUUGUUACGUAUGUAAAAAAAUUUUGGAAAAAAAAAUGUGAAGCUUGUUAAAAUUUGUGCUUGUUCUUAUCAGUGCUUCUAAAUAUCACUUUCCACAGUUUCAAAUACUGUACAAUCUAUAAUAAAAAGAUUUUUCACAGCUAUAUAA